Carlito syrichta (Philippine tarsier) is the source of this 450-nucleotide RNA transcript. RefSeq lists it as uncharacterized. Lineage: Eukaryota; Metazoa; Chordata; Mammalia; Primates; Tarsiidae. The transcript has a single exon. The record is from RefSeq and is a predicted model, not a curated record.
CCCUUGGCAGGCAGUGCGGAGGCCGCACGAUGCCCAGAGUUAUCGUAAAAGACGUGAACCAGCAGGAGCGCAUCAGAGCCCUGGCAACCUUCCUCAAAAAGUCCGGGAAGCUGAAAGUUCCCAAAUGGGUGGACACGGUCAAGCUGGCCAAGCAUAAAGAGCUUGAUCCCUAUGACGAGAACUGGUUCUACACACAAGCUGCCUCCACAGCACGGUACCUUUGGGAUGGUGCAAGGGUUGGCUCCAUUACCAAGAUUUGCAGGGGACGUCAGAGAAAUGGUGUUGUGGCCCACUGGGUCCUUCAAGCCCUGGAGGGGAUGCAAAUGGUGGAAAAGGACCAAGAUGGGGGCCGCAAACUGAUACCUCAGAGACAGAGAGAUCUGGGCAGAAUCGCCGGACAGGUGGCAGCUGCCAACAAGAAAAGCAUUAGAACAAAUGAUGCUGGGUUAA